RNAcentral lists this small RNA (107 nucleotides) under Marmota monax (woodchuck). The record is from RNAcentral. Lineage: Eukaryota; Metazoa; Chordata; Mammalia; Rodentia; Sciuridae.
ACUGGGCAUGGUGGUGCAUGUCUGUAAUCCAAGUUACCGAGGAGGCUGAGACAGUAGAAUUACAAGUUGGAAGCCAGUCUUGAUAUCUUAGUGAGACCCUGUUUCAA